GUCUUCGUAGCUCAAGUGGCAGAGCGGCUGAUUUGUAAUCAGCAGGUUGUGUGUUCGAGCCCCAUCGGAGGCU
Molecule: transfer RNA, 73 nt
Filed under: Caudoviricetes sp.
Lineage: Duplodnaviria; Heunggongvirae; Uroviricota; Caudoviricetes
Description: tRNA-Thr
Rfam family: tRNA
About the family: Transfer RNA (tRNA) molecules are approximately 80 nucleotides in length. Their secondary structure includes four short double-helical elements and three loops (D, anti-codon, and T loops).
Source: RNAcentral